AGCAAUCUGCCCAUGUCUGGGGGAUAACAGUUGGAAACGACUGAUAAUACCGCAUAAUAUGGUUUGAAGGCAUCUUCUUUCCAUCAAAGAUUUAUCGGAUAUGGAUGAGCUCGCGUCUGAUUAGCUUGUUGGUGAGGUAACGGCUCACCAAGGCGACGAUCAGUAGCCGACCUGAGAGGGUGAUCGGCCACAUUGGAACUGAGACACGGUCCAAACUCCUACGGGAGGCAGCAG
Molecule: ribosomal RNA, 234 nt
Filed under: uncultured bacterium
Lineage: Bacteria
Description: partial 16S ribosomal RNA
Rfam family: Bacterial small subunit ribosomal RNA
Source: RNAcentral